Molecule: ribosomal RNA, 312 nt
Filed under: Theileria equi
Lineage: Eukaryota; Apicomplexa; Aconoidasida; Piroplasmida; Theileriidae
Description: SSU rRNA
Rfam family: Eukaryotic small subunit ribosomal RNA
Source: RNAcentral
AAACUUGUUGCAGUUAAAAAGCUCGUAGUUGAAUUUCUGCUGUAUCGUUUUCCUCUGCUUGACAGUUGGAUUUCGUUAUGGCUUAGUUGGGUUACAGUUUCUGUUACCUGACGUUUACUUUGAGAAAAUUAGAGUGCUUCAAGCAGGCUUUUGCCUUGAAUACUUUAGCAUGGAAUAAUGGAGUAGGACUUUGGUUCUAUUUUGUUGGUUUUAGGAGCCAGAGUAAUGGUUAAUAGGAACAGUUGGGGGCAUUCGUAUUUGACUGUCAGAGGUGAAAUUCUUAGAUUUGUUAAAGACAAACUACUGCGAAAG